RNAcentral lists this ribosomal RNA (397 nucleotides) under uncultured Strobilidiidae. Its description in RNAcentral is "partial small subunit ribosomal RNA". It matches the Rfam family "Eukaryotic small subunit ribosomal RNA", at positions 30 to 432 of the family's 1831-position model. The record is from RNAcentral. Lineage: Eukaryota; Ciliophora; Spirotrichea; Choreotrichida; Strobilidiidae.
GCUUGUCUCAAAGAUUAAGCCAUGCAUGUCUCAGUAUAAGUUCCUGUACGGCGAAACUGCGAAUGGCUCAUUAAAACAGUUACAGUUUAUUUGAUGGUCGUUCCUUACAUGGAUAACUGUGGUAAUUCUAGAGCUAAUACAUGCUGUAAAGCCCGACUUCUCGGAAGGGCCGUAUUUAUUAGAUAACAGACCAGCAGCUUCGGCUAUUGUGGUGAAUCAUAGUAACUAAUCGGAUCGCAUGGGCUAGUCCCGCGACAAACCAUUCAAGUUUCUGCCCCAUCAGCUUUCGACGGUAGUGUAUUGGACUACCGUGGCUUUUACGGGUAACGGAGGAUUAGGGUUCGAUUCCGGAGAGGGAGCCUGAGAAACGGCUACCACAUCUAAGGAAGGCAGCAGG